This 429-nucleotide ribosomal RNA is filed under the name Acidobacteriota bacterium. RNAcentral describes it as "Acidobacteria bacterium partial 16S ribosomal RNA". It matches the Rfam family "Bacterial small subunit ribosomal RNA", at positions 355 to 776 of the family's 1533-position model. Lineage: Bacteria; Pseudomonadati; Acidobacteriota. The record is from RNAcentral.
UGGGGAAUUUUGGACAAUGGGGGAAACCCUGAUCCAGCCAUCCCGCGUGUGCGAUGAAGGCCUUCGGGUUGUAAAGCACUUUUGGCAGGAAAGAAACGUCAUGGGUUAAUACCCCGUGAAACUGACGGUACCUGCAGAAUAAGCACCGGCUAACUACGUGCCAGCAGCCGCGGUAAUACGUAGGGUGCAAGCGGUAAUCGGAAUUACUGGGCGUAAAGCGUGCGCAGGCGGUUCGGAAAGAAAGAUGUGAAAUCCCAGAGCUCAACUUUGGAACUGCAUUUUUAACUACCGGGCUAGAGUGUGUCAGAGGGAGGUUGAAUUCCUCGUGUAGCAGUGAAAUGAGUAGAUAUGCGGAGGAACACCGAUGGCGAAGGCAGCCUCCUGGGAUAACACUGACGCUCAUGCACGAAAGCGUGGGGAGCAAACAGG